This 70-nucleotide transfer RNA is filed under the name Anadara sp. SS-2018. RNAcentral describes it as "tRNA-Trp". RNAcentral also lists the same sequence under 1 other name. Lineage: Eukaryota; Metazoa; Mollusca; Bivalvia; Arcoida; Arcidae. The record is from RNAcentral.
GAGACCUUAAGUUAUUUAGACUGAUGGCCUUCAAAGCCGGGAGAGUAGCGUUAAGAGGUUGCAGGUUUCG